GGGGGCAUAGUCCCCCGCCUUAAUGCGGCUUCCGGCAGCGGAAACGGUUGCAAGCCCGUGCGAACGCAGAGCAGGGA
RNAcentral lists this non-coding RNA (77 nucleotides) under unclassified sequences. The record is from RNAcentral.